UACGUAGGGUCCAAGCGUUGUUCGGAUUUACUGGGCGUAAAGGGCGCGUAGGCGGCUCGGUAAGUCACUUGUGAAAUCUCUGAGCUUAACUCAGAACGGCCAAGUGAUACUGCAGUGCUAGAGUGUGGAAGGGGCAAUCGGAAUUCUUGGUGUAGCGGUGAAAUGCGUAGAUAUCAAGAGGAACACCUGAGGUGAAGACGGGUUGCUGGGCCAACACUGACGCUGAGGCGCGAAAGCCAGGGGAGCAAACGGG
Molecule: ribosomal RNA, 253 nt
Filed under: uncultured bacterium
Lineage: Bacteria
Description: partial 16S ribosomal RNA
Rfam family: Bacterial small subunit ribosomal RNA
Source: RNAcentral